RNAcentral lists this transfer RNA (63 nucleotides) under Physa fontinalis. RNAcentral describes it as "tRNA-Gln". The record is from RNAcentral. Lineage: Eukaryota; Metazoa; Mollusca; Gastropoda; Physidae.
UUUUUCUAGGUGUUAUUGCACAAAAAGAUUUGAGCUUUUAAGAGGAUUAUUAUCCAGAAAAAA